This 253-nucleotide ribosomal RNA is filed under the name uncultured bacterium. Its description in RNAcentral is "partial 16S ribosomal RNA". It matches the Rfam family "Bacterial small subunit ribosomal RNA", at positions 524 to 776 of the family's 1533-position model. The record is from RNAcentral.
UACAGAGACUGCAAGCGUUAUUCGGAUUCACUGGGCGUAAAGGGUGCGUAGGCGGCGCGGUAAGUCGGGUGUGAAAUCUCGGAGCUUAACUCCGAAACUGCAUUCGAUACUGCCGUGCUUGAGGACUGGAGAGGAGACUGGAAUUUACGGUGUAGCGGUGAAAUGCGUAGAUAUCGUAAGGAAGACCAGUGGCGAAGGCGGGUCUCUGGACAGUUCCUGACGCUGAGGCACGAAGGCCAGGGGAGCAAACGGG